This 460-nucleotide ribosomal RNA is filed under the name uncultured bacterium. RNAcentral's name for it is "partial 16S ribosomal RNA". It matches the Rfam family "Bacterial small subunit ribosomal RNA", at positions 338 to 795 of the family's 1533-position model. The record is from RNAcentral.
GCUACGGGUGUCAGCAGUGAGGAAUAUUGGUCAAUGGACGAGAGUCUGAACCAGCCAAGUAGCGUGAAGGAUGACUGCCCUAUGGGUUGUAAACUUCUUUUAUAUGGGAAUAAAACGUUCCACGUGUGGGAUUUUGUAUGUACCAUAUGAAUAAGGAUCGGCUAACUCCGUGCCAGCAGCCGCGGUAAUACGGAGGAUCCGAGCGUUAUCCGGAUUUAUUGGGUUUAAAGGGAGCGUAGGUGGAUUGUUAAGUCAGUUGUGAAAGUUUGCGGCUCAACCGUAAAAUUGCAGUUGAAACUGGCAGUCUUGAGUACAGUAGAGGUGGGCGGAAUUCGUGGUGUAGCGGUGCAAUGCUGAGAUAUCACGAAGAACUCCAGUGGCGAAAGCGGCUCUCUGGUCUGUAACUGACGCUGAGGUUCGAAAGCGUGGGUAGCAAACAGGAUUAGAUACCCUUGUAGUC